GCCCACUACCAAAUCACUCGGAAAGCGCCCGACCUCCUUCGACCUCGGAAGCUAAGGUGGGUUCAGUCUGGACAGUGCUCGGAUGGGUGACCACCGUGUACAAACAAGUUGCUAUAGGCG
Molecule: ribosomal RNA, 120 nt
Filed under: Petromyzon marinus (sea lamprey)
Lineage: Eukaryota; Metazoa; Chordata; Hyperoartia; Petromyzontiformes; Petromyzontidae
Source: RNAcentral